UAUUUAUAUGUAUUAAAUAUGUACUUGUGUUUGUACUGUGUAUGGAUUGUUGUGGCUGUGUUCCUGCUGCUGCUGCUGGAUAGGUUUGGCUCCAGCUUCCCUAUGGCUCAGCUCAGGGUUAGCAGGCUUGGAAAACGGAAGCACAUAUUAUUUGUUAUUACUACUUGACAAGUGACAACAUUUGAGAUUCGAUUGGUCCCAUUCGUUUUGUCUCUUCCCCAGUUGGAUAACAGACAUGGUGAAGUGACUCGCUCACGGUCCAGCAGUGUCAGUAAUGGGAUCUGAAGCCUCAGCGUCGGAAGUCCAGAGCCUUAAUCACUACGCCACCAUGCAACAGAGAGAAGACGCCCACUGAGGUCAACUGACUCCGCCCCUAACAGCUGGCGGACUAUGAAGGAGCAGACACCCCAGAGAAUGGCCUGAACUGCAAGCAGCAUGGAGCCCCGAAGACGACCUGCUUGUCACCGCUAAGAGAAAAUCACAAAAGUAAAGUCAUCUCUGAUGGAGGAGCACUGGAAUCAUCA
Polypterus senegalus (gray bichir) is the source of this 524-nucleotide long non-coding RNA. RefSeq lists it as uncharacterized. The record is from RefSeq and is a predicted model, not a curated record. Lineage: Eukaryota; Metazoa; Chordata; Cladistia; Polypteriformes; Polypteridae. The transcript is spliced from 3 exons.